UGAGCGAUGAAAUUUCAAACCAAGUGAAAAUGAUGCUGUGAAUCUUACUAGAUGUCCAAAGGUCUCAGGAAUUUCCCCCAGAGAAAAGGCCUUCAUGUAUCACAGCCAGACUAGAACAUACCCAAAGUCAAACCCAACUCCACGUAGUCACAGCCACUGCCAGGCGGCUGUUAUCAAAGCCACAAGUCCUCCCCAAAGGCAAGCUGCUGUGGUCUCUGCUCUGCAUGGUCUUGGUCAAUUUUCCACUUAAACAAAAACAAAUAGGACAAGAAUACAAAUAAGAUAUGGCUUGACACCACUGGUUUGGGUACAAGAGUUGGUGAGGAUAUGGAGAAACUGGGGCACUAUUGCUGGUAUGAAAAUAGUGUGGCUGUUUUGGAAAAUUUAAAGUGUUACCUCAUGGGACCCUGAAAAUCCAUUCCAGAAAAAUUCAGUGACUUGAAAACAUCUGCCUACACAAAGCAAAAAAACCCACCCUGUACUUGAAUGCUAACAACAUUCGGCAUAACAAGCAAACAGGAGAAACAGUCCAAGUAUCCAUGAACUGAUAAAUUAACAAAUACGAUUCAGCCACACGAUGAUUGUACAGCCACAGCGAAUGUUGAUGCUACAAUCACACGAACAGUGAGGACGGAGAACGGGAAACGCUGGACACAAAGGCCACAUAGUGAGUGAUGUCAUUUAUGGAAAUGUCUAGAAUAGGCAAACAGACUGGGGGCUGUCUGGACUCGGGAGGGAAAAUGGGAGUGAUUGCUUGCCAGUGGGGAGAUUUCUUUUGGAGGAAUCUGGGGUUGGAUGGACAACAUUGUGAAUACCCCACCACCCACUGUACAUUAAAAGAGCAAAUUUCAUUGUAAAUUCUCUUAAUAAAGCUAUUUUAAAAAACUGGUUAUAAAGUGCCAUUUGUUUACUUCUUAGACUUCAAUUUAGAGGUACUAUAGAAUAUAUGCCCGAAACAUUCCCUCUUGCUGGUGGCUAUACACAACUGGGAAGGAGGAUGUGACGAGAGACCCAGACAGGUUCUAGCAGCUUGACCAGAAGUUCUUGGAGGCACCAUUCGAGGCUUCCCACAUCUGAUACUAUGUUUCUCAGAGAUUAUUAUGUAAGGAGACUUAUUGGAACAAAACCAAACUAAACCAGUCCUUUUUCCAGAAACACUGUGCCUUUUGUCUGUAGAAAACAGAACUAAUGUAUGGCUAUCUUUUUGACUUUUGCUACCG
RNAcentral lists this long non-coding RNA (1220 nucleotides) under Rattus norvegicus (Norway rat). RNAcentral describes it as "long non-coding RNA NONRATT018721". Lineage: Eukaryota; Metazoa; Chordata; Mammalia; Rodentia; Muridae. The record is from RNAcentral.